GAUGAACGCUGGCGGCGUGCCUAAUACAUGCAAGUCGAGCGAACGGACGAGAAGCUUGCUUCCCUGAUGUUAGCGGCGGACGGGUGAGUAACACGUGGAUAACCUACCUAUAAUACUGAGAUAACUUCGGGAAACCGGUGCUAAUACCGGAUAAUAUUUUGAACCGCAUGGUUCAAAAGUGAAAGACGGUCUUGCUGUCACUUAUAGAUGGAUCCGCGCUGCAUUAGCGAGUUGGUAAGGUAACGGCUUACCAAGGCAACGAGGCAUAGCCGACGUGAGAGGGAGAACGCACACUGUGACACAGACACGCGCCAGACACCCACGGGAGGGACCGGUGGGGAAUAUUGGCCAAUGGGGGCAAGCCCGAUCCAGAGAAACGCCGCGGGUGAAGAAGGGGUUCGGGUUGUAAAACCCUUUUGUUGGGGAAGAAAAGAAGUAUGUUAAUACCCGGCCGUUCUGACGGGAUCCAAAAAAAAAGCACCGGCGAAAUCCGUG
RNAcentral lists this ribosomal RNA (495 nucleotides) under uncultured bacterium. Its description in RNAcentral is "partial 16S ribosomal RNA". It matches the Rfam family "Bacterial small subunit ribosomal RNA", at positions 28 to 507 of the family's 1533-position model. The record is from RNAcentral.